AUGUACAGCAACUUCAAGGAGCAGGCGAUCGAGUACGUGAAGCAGGCCGUCCAGGAGGACAAUGCCGGCAACUACGUCAAGGCGUUCCCGCUCUACAUGAACGCGCUCGAGUACUUCAAGACCCACCUCAAGUACGAGAAGAACCCCAAGAUCAAGGAGGCCAUCACCGCCAAGUUCACCGAGUACCUCCGCCGCGCCGAGGAGAUCCGGGCCGUCCUCGACGAGGGCGGCGGCGGCCCCCCCGGCGCGCCCAACGGCGGCGACGCCGCCGUCGCCACCCGGCCCAAGACCAAGGGGAAGGACGGCGGAGGCGACGGCGCCGGCGGGGACGACUCCGAUCAGUCCAAGCUGAGGGCCGGCCUCAACUCGGCCAUCAUCACCGAGAAGCCCAACAUCAAGUGGAACGACGUCGCCGGGCUCGAGAGCGCCAAGCAGGCGCUGCAGGAGGCCGUCAUAUUGCCCGUCAAGUUCCCCCAGUUCUUCACAGGUAAGCGGAGGCCAUGGAGGGCUUUUCUUCUGUACGGUCCACCAGGAACAGGAAAGUCUUAUUUGGCUAAAGCUGUUGCAACUGAGGCUGAUUCGACAUUCUUCAGCAUAUCUUCAUCAGACCUUGUUUCGAAAUGGAUGGGAGAGAGCGAGAAACUAGUUGCUAAUCUUUUCCAAAUGGCUCGCGAAAAUGCCCCGUCAAUUAUCUUCAUUGAUGAAAUUGAUUCCUUGUGCGGUACACGUGGAGAAGGCAAUGAAAGUGAAGCUUCCAGGAGAAUAAAAACCGAACUUCUUGUACAGAUGCAGGGUGUUGGCCAUAAUGAUGAUAAAGUUCUUGUUCUUGCUGCGACGAAUACGCCAUAUGCUCUGGACCAGGCUGUGCGGCGGCGGUUUGACAAGCGUAUCUACAUUCCGCUACCUGACGCGAAAGCUAGGCAGCAUAUGUUUAAGGUGCAUCUUGGGGAUACACCGCACAGCUUAUCGGAAAGUGAUUUUGAGGUCUUGGGUCGUCGUACAGAAGGAUUCUCUGGUUCCGAUGUUGCUGUCUGUGUGAAAGAUGUGUUGUUUGAGCCUGUGCGCAAAACACAGGAUGCUAUGUACUUCUUCAAGAUAGAUGGUGACAUGUGGAUGCCCUGUGGACCGAAGCAGCCAGGCGCUGUGCAGACCACGAUGCAGGAUCUUGCAUCCAAAGGCCUUGCCUCACAGAUUCUUCCACCCCCGAUCUCGAAGAAUGAUUUCGAGAAGGUCCUUGCGAGACAGAGACCAACCGUUGGCAAGAAGGACCUGGAAGUGCACGAGAAGUUCACCAAGGAGUUCGGCGAGGAGGGUUGA
RNAcentral lists this ribosomal RNA (1317 nucleotides) under Triticum aestivum (bread wheat). RNAcentral describes it as "partial small subunit ribosomal RNA". The record is from RNAcentral. Lineage: Eukaryota; Viridiplantae; Streptophyta; Magnoliopsida; Poales; Poaceae.